Molecule: ribosomal RNA, 1323 nt
Filed under: metagenome
Description: bacterial LSU rRNA
Rfam family: Bacterial large subunit ribosomal RNA
Source: RNAcentral
AGUGGAUGGGGAGCAACCUAGUUGUGCGUGUGUAAAGGUAGUGCCAAGAAAAGCGGUGAUCAUGAUGAAAAUCAAUUCCCGGUACCCGAAACCGACACAGGUGGGCAAGUAGAGAAUACUAAGGGGCGCGAGGUAACUCUCUCCAAGGAACUCGGCAAAAUGACCCCGUAACUUAGGGAGAAGGGGUGCCACCGAGAGGUGGUCGCAGUGAAGAGGCCCAGGCGACUGUUUAGCAAAAACAUAGGUCUCUGCAAACUCGAAAGAGGAGGUAUAGGGGCUGACGCCUGCCCAGUGCCGGAAGGUUAAAGAAGUUGGUCAGUCUUAGGAUGAAGCUAGCGACUGAAGCCCCGGUGAACGGCGGCCGUAACUAUAACGGUCCUAAGGUAGCGAAAUUCCUUGUCGGGUAAGUUCCGACCCGCACGAAAGGCGUAACGAUCUGGGCGCUGUCUCGGAGAGAGGCUCGGCGAAAUAGGAUUGUCUGUGAAGAUACGGACUACCUGCAUUUGGACAGAAAGACCCUAUGAAGCUUUACUAUAGCUUGGAAUUGUGUUCGGGCUUCCUGUGCGCAGGAUAGGUGGGAGGCGUAGAAGGUAUUCUUGUGGGGAUACUGGAGCCAACGGUGAGAUACCACUCUCAGGAGGCUAGAAUUCUAACUUAAUUAAGGACAGUUUCAGGUGGGUAGUUUGACUGGGGCGGUCGCCUCCAAAAAGGUAACGGAGGCGUACAAAGGUUCCCUCAGACUGGUUGGAAAUCAGUCGAAGAGAAAAGGCAGAAGGGAGCUUGACUGCGAGAAGUACAGUUCGAGCAGGGUGGAAACACGGUCUUAGUGAUCCGACGGUGCUGUGUGGAAGGGCCGUCGCUCAACGGAUAAAAGUUACUCUAAGGAUAACAGGCUGAUCUCCCCCAAGAGUUCACAUCGACGGGGAGGUUUGGCACCUCGAUGUCGGCUCAUCGCAACCUGGGGCGGAAGUACGUCCCAAGGGUUGGGCUGUUCGCCCAUUAAAGCGGUACGUGAGCUGGGUUCAGAACGUCGUGAGACAGUUCGGUCCAUAUCCGAUGUAGGCGUGAGAAUAUUGAGAGGAGCCUUCCUUAGUACGAGAGGACCGGGAAGGACGCACCGCUGGUGUACCUGUUAUGAUGCCAAUUGUAAACGCAGGGUAGCCAAGUGCGGAGAGGAUAACCGCUGAAAGCAUCUAAGUGGGAAGCCCACCUCAAGAUGAGUAUUCUGGUGUAAGGUCACGGGAAGACGACCCGUAAAUAGGCACGAGGUGGAAGUGCAGAGAUGUAUGAAGCCGAAGUGUACUAAUAGACCGUCGGCUUGAC